UCGAGCGAGGGGCUUCGGUCUCUAGCGGCGGACGGGUGAGUAACACGUGGGAACCUGCCUCAUAGAGGGGGAUAGCCUCCCGAAAGGGAGAUUAAUACCGCAUAACAUCAGGAAAUCGCAUGGUUUUCUGAUUAAAGGCGUAAUCGCUAUCGAGAUGGACCCGNUCGCAUUAGCUAGUUGGAGAGGUAACGGCUCACCAAGGCACGAUGCUAGCCGCCUAGAGGCGAUCGCACAUUGGACUGAUACAGCAACUCUCCG
This 258-nucleotide ribosomal RNA is filed under the name unidentified eubacterium U63027. RNAcentral describes it as "partial 16S ribosomal RNA". It matches the Rfam family "Bacterial small subunit ribosomal RNA", at positions 62 to 343 of the family's 1533-position model. The record is from RNAcentral. Lineage: Bacteria; Bacillati; Bacillota; Clostridia; Eubacteriales.